UUUGGCUGGAGGCAGAAACUGCUGGCCCCUCGGUCUCCUCCACCCGCAGGAGCCAGCCCGGGAGGAUGAAUGAGCUGAGGGAGUGGCUCCAGGGUCCCGCCCUGGCCCUGAGGCACAGCCCUAGUCCCAGCCCUGUUCUGCCUCCGCCUCACACGAGGUCAAAGGAGCCCUUUCUGCCUGAGCUGGUUUGAGUUGUUUUCAUCACUGCAGGUCCUCUGCACACCAUUGACUGUGCAGGAGAAGAGUCCCUGGGCAAGUCUGGCCUGAUGUCUCAGCCCAGAGCUAGUUCUCCUCCUGGAGACUGAAGGCCCUGCUCCCCACUCCCCCAUGCAGUCCCACUACACCUAGUGGUCCUGGCCCAAGGGACCCCUAUCCCAUGUAAGAGUUCCUUGAAUUCCCCCCUCCCUCUUCAGGUUUUCUGCCACUGGCCCAGCCUUCUCCCCUUCUCAAGGAUCCUGGUUCCCAGAGCCUCCUUUUCUUCCAGAAGGUUCAGGUCUCCUCCAGGAAACCACUGUCCUCAGCCCAUAGCCUCUUGGCUGCCUCCAUCCUUCAUUUUACCCCCACUCAGCAUACCUUUUAUGGCCUAUCAUCUUGCCAACAUCUGAAGCCUCCUGCCUGUUUUCUCACUAUUCCCAUCUCACAAGAUCCAACCUUGUGCCAGCUGUGGUGUUCUAAUCCCAGGACUCUGGAGGCUGAGACAGAAGGAUCACAAGUUCCAGGCCAGCCUCAGCAACUUAGUGAGGCCCUAAGCAACUUAGUGAGACCCUAUCUCAAAAUAAAUAAUAAAAAGGGUUGGGAGAGGGGCUGGGGAUGUGGCUCAGGCAGUAGUGCGCUCGCCUGGCAUGCGUUCGGCCCAGGUUCGAUCCUCAGCACCACAUAC
Molecule: long non-coding RNA, 880 nt
Filed under: Marmota monax (woodchuck)
Lineage: Eukaryota; Metazoa; Chordata; Mammalia; Rodentia; Sciuridae
Source: RNAcentral